AGGGAGCGUGGCGGGCGGGCCUAAUACAUGCAAGUCGAGCGAACUGAUUAGAAGCUUGCUUCUAUGACGUUAGCGGCGGACGGGUGAGUAACACGUGGGCAACCUGCCUGUAAGACUGGGAUAACUUCGGGAAACCGAAGCUAAUACCGGAUAGGAUCUUCUCCUUCAUGGGAGAUGAUUGAAAGAUGGUUUCGGCUAUCACUUACAGAUGGGCCCGCGGUGCAUUAGCUAGUUGGUGAGGUAACGGCUCACCAAGGCAACGAUGCAUAGCCGACCUGAGAGGGUGAUCGGCCACACUGGGACUGAGACACGGCCCAGACUCCUACGGGAGGCAGCAGUAGGGAAUCUUCCGCAAUGGACGAAAGUCUGACGGAGCAACGCCGCGUGAGUGAUGAAGGCUUUCGGGUCGUAAAACUCUGUUGUUAGGGAAGAACAAGUACGAGAGUAACUGCUCGUACCUUGACGGUACCUAACCAGAAAGCCACGGCUAACUACGUGCCAGCAGCCGCGGUAAUACGUAGGUGGCAAGCGUUAUCCGGAAUUAUUGGGCGUAAAGCGCGCGCAGGCGGUUUCUUAAGUCUGAUGUGAAAGCCCACGGCUCAACCGU
Molecule: ribosomal RNA, 607 nt
Filed under: Priestia megaterium
Lineage: Bacteria; Bacillati; Bacillota; Bacilli; Caryophanales; Bacillaceae
Description: bacterial SSU rRNA
Rfam family: Bacterial small subunit ribosomal RNA
Source: RNAcentral